CACACACACACAUUUAUUCAUCAUCAUCAGUGGAGCCAGAUAAGCUGAUAAACCAGCCUGCCUCUCCUCAGUACAGUUAAUGUGGGCUGAGUGAUAUAACCAUCAACAGUCCUGGUAGUACAGGUUCCCAGGCCACUUUCAGGAUGUGUCGGAAUGGCACUGUGUUCCUAUAUCGUGCACUGCUUUUGACUCCAGUAGUGCUGAGUGAUUAACCCUAAAUCCAGUUUUUAAACAACUAAUUUGCCACAGUUGGUUCAAUUAUUUGAAUUCCAUUUUGUUUUUUUGUUUUUUCUUCUGUGAGCUCAAUGCACACAUUGGGCUGCAGUUUCUGUAGAGAUAAAUGAUCAUGGACCAACAAGUUAAUUUCCCAACCUGCGUAGGGAGUUGUAGUUUCCAACAGGCCAAUAUUCUACAUAGUUUAGCGCAGAAAAUUGGAUUAUUAACUACAAUGACCAUAAUUCAUUGCACGGCUACUUUUCCAGUUUAUUUUACGCCUGCUAUGUAAGAGACAGAAGAAUGAGCAAUCAGGAGAGGAUCCAUAGAGAGCAGUUUCUUUGAGGUAUUGGUAUUUUGUUUUUUACCCUCGCUGAUUAAAAUAAUCAACUAAUCAUCACGCUGUGUAGUGUUAGGGCAAAUAACUAAACGUGCACCUCUUGGGGUCCCGAGGCCCGAGUUUGGGGAAACUCUGCUUUAUUUACAUUGAACUACUAAUAGUGAUUUAGUCAGACUAGAGCUCUAUAGAGGUGGUUUAGUCAGACAGCAGCUCUAUAGAGGUGGUUUAGUCAGACAGCAGCUCUAUAGAGGUGGUUUAGUCAGACUAGAGCUCUAUAGAGGUGGUUUAGUCAGACAGCAGCUCUAUAGAGGUGGUUUAGUCAGACAGCAGCUCUAUAGAGGUGGUUUAGUCAGACUAGAGCUUUAUAGAGGUGGUUUAGUCAGACUAGAUCUCUAUAGAGGGGGUUUAGUCAGACAGCAGCUCUAUAGAGGUGGUUUAGUCAGACUAGAGCUCUAUAGAGGUGGUUUAGUCAGACUAGAGCUCUAUAGAGGUGGUUUAGUCAGACAGCAGCUCUAUAGAGGUGGUUUAGUCAGACUAGAGCUCUAUAGAGGUGGUUUAGUCAGACAGCAGCUCUAUAGAGGUGGUUUAGUCAGACAGCAGCUCUAUAGAGGUGGUUUAGUCAGACUAGAGCUCUAUAGAGGUGGUUUAGUCAGACUAGAGCUCUAUAGAGGUGGUUUAGUCAGUCUAUAGAGGUGGUGUCUUGGAAUUAAAUAAUAUUAAUCAAAAAAACGAAUUUAAUAAAAUCCAAUUUUAUUGGCCACAUACACGUGUUUAGCAGAUGUUAUUGCGGGUGUUGAAAUGCUUGU
Molecule: non-coding RNA, 1359 nt
Organism: Oncorhynchus mykiss (rainbow trout)
Lineage: Eukaryota; Metazoa; Chordata; Actinopteri; Salmoniformes; Salmonidae
Source: RefSeq, a predicted model, not a curated record